AUUAGAGUUUGAUCCUGGCUCAGAACGAACGCUGGCGGCGUGCCUAACACAUGCAAGUCGAACGAGAAAGUUUCUUCGGAAACGAGUAAAGUGGCGCAAGGGUGAGUAACACGUGAAUAAUCUGCCCUCAAACCUGGGAUAACUUGACGAAAGUUAAGCUAAUACCGGAUAAGACCCCGUUCCAUAAGGAACGUGGUAAAAGAAGUCUCAAACUUCUUUUGAGGAUGAGUUCGCGGACCAUUAGCUUGUUGGAGGGAUAACAGCCCCCCAAGGCGACGAUGGUUAGCCGGCCUGAGAGGGUGAUCGGCCACACUGGAACUGAGACACGGUCCAGACUCCUACGGGAGGCAGCAGUGGGGAAUUUUGCGCAAUGGGCGAAAGCUUGACGCAGCAACGCCGCGUGAGGGAUGAAGGUUUUCGGAUCGUAAACCUCUGUCAAGUGGGAAGAAAAAAAUGACGGUACCACUAAAGGAAGCCCCGGCUAACUUCGUGCCAGCAGCCGCGGUAAUACGAAGGGGGCGAGCGUUGUUCGGAAUCAUUGGGCGUAAAGCGUAUGUAGGCGGUCAAACAAGUCAGACGUGUAAGCCCCCGGCUCAACCGGGGAAUUGCGUUUGAAACUGUAUGACUUGAGGGCAGGAGAGGAAAGCGGAAUUCCCAGUGUAGCGGUGAAAUGCGUUGAUAUUGGGAAGAACAUCUGUGGCGAAGGCGGCUUUCUGGCCUGUUUCUGACGCUGAGAUACGAAAGCUAGGGGAGCGAACGGGAUUAGAUACCCCGGUAGUCUUAGCUGUAAACGAUGGGCACUAGUGCGGGGAGUUAUAGAUCCUCUCCGUGCCGUAGCUAACGCAUUAAGUGC
This 853-nucleotide ribosomal RNA is filed under the name uncultured bacterium. Its description in RNAcentral is "bacterial SSU rRNA". It matches the Rfam family "Bacterial small subunit ribosomal RNA", at positions 1 to 867 of the family's 1533-position model. The record is from RNAcentral.